CUACGGGUCGCUGCAGUGGGGAAUAUUGCACAAUGGGCGCAAGCCUGAUGCAGCCAUGCCGCGUGUAUGAAGAAGGCCUUCGGGUUGUAAAGUACUUUCAACGGGGAGGAAGGGAGUAAAGUUAAUACCUUUGCUCAUUGACGUUACCCGCAGAAGAAGCACCGGCUAACUCCGUGCCAGCAGCCGCGGUAAUACGGAGGGUGCAAGCGUUAAUCGGAAUUACUGGGCGUAAAGCGCACGCAGGCGAUUUGUUAAGUCAGAUGUGAAAUCCCCGGGCUCAACCUGGGAACUGCAUCUGAUACUGGCAAGCUUGAGUCUCGUAGAGGGGGGUAGAAUUCCAGGUGUAGCGGUGAAAUGCGUAGAGAUCUGGAGGAAUACCGGUGGCGAAGGCGGCCCCCUGGACGAAGACUGACGCUCAGGUGCGAAAGCGUGGGGAGCAAACAGGAUUAGAUACCCGCGUAGUC
RNAcentral lists this ribosomal RNA (464 nucleotides) under uncultured bacterium. RNAcentral's name for it is "partial 16S ribosomal RNA". It matches the Rfam family "Bacterial small subunit ribosomal RNA", at positions 339 to 795 of the family's 1533-position model. The record is from RNAcentral.